RNAcentral lists this ribosomal RNA (403 nucleotides) under uncultured bacterium. Its description in RNAcentral is "partial 16S ribosomal RNA". It matches the Rfam family "Bacterial small subunit ribosomal RNA", at positions 28 to 526 of the family's 1533-position model. The record is from RNAcentral.
GACGAACGCUGGCGGCGUGCCUAAUACAUGCAAGUCGAACGCAGUGGGGACGGGUGAGUAACACGUGGGUAACCUCCCAUCAGAGGGGAUAACACUUGGAAACAGGUGCUAAACCGAGACUGAUGGAUGGACCCGCGGUGCAUUAGCUAGUUGGUGAGGUAACGGCUCACCAAGGCCACGAUGCCUAGCCGGCCUGAGAGGGUGAGCGGCCACACUGGAACUGAGACACGGUCCAGACUCCGACGGGAGGCAGCAGUGGGGAAUCGUCGACAAUGGGCGAAAGUCUGACCGAGCAACGCCGCGUGAGUGAAGAAGGUUUUCGGAUCGUAAAGCUCUGUUGUUAGAGAUGAGGUAUCUAACCAGAAAGCCACGGCUAACUACGUGCCAGCAGCCGCGGUAAUUC